RNAcentral lists this unclassified non-coding RNA (3935 nucleotides) under Hevea brasiliensis (rubber tree). Lineage: Eukaryota; Viridiplantae; Streptophyta; Magnoliopsida; Malpighiales; Euphorbiaceae. The record is from RNAcentral.
UUUUAGAGAAGACGACAAUCAUUUGAAUUAUAUUGCCACAAAUAAAAUGAAUACAAGAGGGUUUUAACCAUUGAACAAUUUAUAUCGGAAAAAUAUUGCAAGAAUAUAAAGCCAAAUGACCAAAAACGGUAAAACUUUCAUUGUGAUCUACAACCUGUUCAUGCUAGUUUAUUCCUAUACUGUAACAGUGAACAAAUAAAGUUUCAAAACCACAGACAGUGCCAGCUGCAAUAGAAAGAUGCUAGCUACGAUCAAAAACCACCUUUCACCUGCAGAUUUGAUAUGGGUUCGUAGAUUAAGUGCAACAAAGGUUGCUGACAUAAAGCCUGCAACACCAGCGACCACCCACCUGAAAAUUUCCAACGGAAUAAUGGAGAGACACUGCAACCAAAUGCAAAAAUUCAGCUAUUUGCCAAUGCCUGUUGGAACACUCAUGAAAUCUUCAUUUUUUAAAAUAGAAGCAGGAUAAUCUCAUUAUUCUCAUAUCUUAUCUUCACAACAUAAUAUAGGUUGUCCAAAUAUGUGGCUUAUAUUCAGACAAGCAAUAAAAAAAUCACUUCAUACAUCUCUCAUCCUAAAUCAUCACAAAUUGCUGCUAAAGAACUAAUUCAAAUAAGAAUUUUCUCCAGGGUACUUGUGACAAUGCCAUCCUGCUGCAAAUUUUUACUUUUUCCAUCAAUAAGCCCAUCCUCUUGUGAUACGACACAGUUUACAACUGAAAAGGAUGAGUUGUAAUUCUGUUAAAAAUGUUGUUGGAUUAGUUGCAAAUCUGUUGUAAAUGUUCAAGUAGUUAGUGAGCUAGCUGAUAGUCAGUUACUAUAAUCUGCAUGUAAGGAGCUAACUCUAUUGUAAUUAGUGUAUAUUGAUUGAAUGGAAACUCUCCUCCCUUGGAUUCUUCUCUACUCUUCUAUUCUUCUCUCUGAAAUUCUCUCUUCUUCCCUGCUCUUACUUUUUCUAUUAAAUCUGCAUCAUCCUGAAAUGUUUUUAAAUCAAUACAUUACUGCAAUAGUUUAUUGCUGAACAAGUUUCUUAAUAAAACCUAUUUGCUAAGGAUCAUUGGAGCUACACAACUACAAAGAGGUUGCACAAAAUUGAGUGCAACAUUUGAAAAAGAGAGCACAUCUAACUAUUACUUCUUAUGUAAGACUAUUUGGCAAAAAUGUUUAUAUGAAAUUUUCAGGAAUAAAUGUAUAUUUCUUCCAAUCUAUUUUUCAACUGUUUUAUGAAGUGUUGGAUCUCUUUACGGGCAUUUGCUUGAUAACAAGCUUUCCCAGAAUUAUUUUUCUAUUUUUGUUUGGUCAACAUUUUUGUCAAAAUAGUGGAAGCUGAAGAACUAACAAGAAUUCACAGCAAACAGAAAACUUACCAAUGCUGGAAUAAAGAUAAAUAAGGAGUAGCCAUAGAGACAAAACAGCUGGACAAGGCCAGAUGGUGCUGAAAAGUACUUAAGGAUUACAUACAAUCCAAGAGGAACAAUGGUCACAUAUCCAUAGAACACACCAGCAGACCAAGUCACCAGAUUUAUGUCAUAUUCCCAUUCUUUCUUUUGUAGCUUGUGUGCUAUAUACGUAACAAAAGUGCCAAUUGAAGCUGCCACAAAGAUUAGGGUAGUGCAUAUCCAGAAUGGUCCAUACCUGGACAGAUAUUGAACUUUAAGACACAUUCAUUACUUAAAGGAAACAAACGGGAGAAGAAGGGUAGAGAAAAAUGAGAAUGAGGUUGUUUCGUACCUCAUUCUCAUUUAAGAUCCAUCAUAUAUAGUGGGUCUACUAGGUUAGUUACUAGUGGUUCAAGUCUAGAACUACCAUUGUUUUGUACCAGAAAAGGUCGGUAAAAGCAUAAAAUUCUCUUCAUUGUCUUAGCAUGCACUAGUUAACAGAAAUUUAUAGCAUUUGGAUCUAGAAAGGGUUGCCACUUCUGAGGGAGAAGGUACUCAGAUACAGAAAAUUUAUUAGGAAAUUCUUCAAUUUAUACUGUGCCUAUAAUCUUGCCAAUGCAUUUGCAUUUUUUUCAUGGCAUCCACUUUGCAUAAAUAUACCCAUCCAAGUAAAACUCCUAAUCAUUUUAAAGCCUUAGAAAUUUGCUUUUCAUCCAAUGUUUAUUUAUAACAGCAGCUAAACCAUCCAACUAACUAGCUUUGUCAUGCAGUGAUAGGUGGUUAACAGUACACAAUAAGUUGCAUUACACACAAUCAUGCAUAAAAGAAAGUAAUAUAAACAAACCUUCCAAAAAUAAAUUGUAAAAUUUUUUAUGUCUUUAUCACUUCAACCAAAGUCCAAUUGCAGGUUGUUUCUGAUGUUAAUCCACCAUGAAUAUACAACCCACUUAUUCAGAACUGACAAUAAAGCACAAAAAAUACAUCAAUCUUCAAUUAUAAAAGGAUAUGGCCAUACUGAAAAAGUGUAUGCAAACAAUAAAUUAAGUAUCAUUACUAAAUACCAAGUCCUACAGUUAGUUCCUUGGCACAUUUGACAAGGUUCCUCUUUAGAAACACUAGCAUCCACACAUGCCAAAACCAUAAUAUUCAUUUGUAAAUGACAUCAUAACAACUUUAGAUAUCAACUUUACAUCAUGAUAUUGUUGUAGGAGAAGCCCAUAAAAUUUUGCAUAAAUAUGUUGACAAUAUCAUAACAGACCACAGAAUGGCACAAUAAGAAUAUUGAUGUGUCCUUGAUUUCAUAGUAUAGUUACCUCUAAUACAUGUUUAUUCCUAAUUUCCCACUAGAACACAUUGUCUAUUGUCAAUUUUUUUUUUCUCUGUUUAUUUGUUUUCUUAGCAAAGCAUCAAUGAACAAUUUAAAAUAAAAGAAAUGUUUCAAUAUAAAGAACAAAAGGUUUCUGAUAUAUUCAAUGUUUACUUAAAUCAAAUAAUAUCAAACAGAUAAAAUGAGUUAGGCAGAGUGAACUCACAAAUCUGGGUUGCCAGCAGUUUUCUCAGAAAAAGUUCCUCUGAAAGGGAAAAGCGAAUCUUUGAUUCUCUCCAAAACAUCUGUAGUGUCUAUAUCAAAGUAUAGCUUAUAUGCAGCAAUUGUGAAUGUCCGCAACCAACCACUUUGCUGGGGUUCAUCAGAACCAGAAGAAGGUUUUGAAAAUGUAUCUCACUCAGGGAGCGCCUGAGCUUUGCGCCUUGCCCCUAGGUUGUACACCUUGAGCCUUUAGUAACUAUGAUUGCAACUACACAACAUCUCACUAUAUUUUGAUUUGGUUCAUCAGACACUUUGCAGCUCCAUUGUCACUUUCCAAUUGUUAGCUAUUUCAAAACGAAAUUAAAUCAGAUUAAAAAUGAAAUAUCAAUGUAUACCAUCAGCAUCGCGAGGAGGGUGAGAUCCACCGGAGAUUUUCCCAUGCGCAUUUGGUGGAGGAAACGUCUGCAGAUUCGAAUCUGCAACGGCAUAUCCAAGCAAUCAUAUCACAAACACGAAGAUUAACAAAACUGAAAAAUAAAACAAAAAUUGCACUAAUUAGCAUUAGCCACAUCACCAUCCUAUAAUACCUAUACUUCAUGCAGGUUCAAUUUCCAAGCUCGCCUUAAACUAGACAUACCAUUCAAUUCACCAGACGACAUUAUUAUUGUAAAUUUUCUAUUUCAAAUCCCAGCAUUUUCUCAGCUACCAAACAGCAACAAAUUUUGCACCAAAAUUGAAAAAAAAAAUGUAAGCAAAAACAGAAUUCAGCAGAAAAAGGAUAGCACCUGAGAAUUUACCAGAGAGGCCUGGAUCUGGAACAGAAGGUACGGAUCCCGAGACCUUUUGAUUAUCAAUACUAGUGUAAUUGCCUGACAUCAUCUUUACAAGACUUCUGAUUCUUUCUGCGCUCGCAGGACACUGGCCGGCAAGCUUGGGCGCUGAGUUUAUUGAUUUAUUUAUUUAUUUAUAUAAUUUUAUUAUUUGUCAAUACAUCCAACCGGGAGGUCUGCCUGUGUCAAGUAAUGAGGC